RNAcentral lists this unclassified non-coding RNA (348 nucleotides) under soil metagenome. RNAcentral's name for it is "partial contains 5.8S ribosomal RNA, internal transcribed spacer 2, and large subunit ribosomal RNA". The stretch from base 1 to 120 matches the Rfam family "5.8S ribosomal RNA", at positions 35 to 154 of the family's 154-position model. The record is from RNAcentral.
GAUGAAGAACGCAGCGAAAUGCGAUAAGUAAUGUGAAUUGCAGAAUUCAGUGAAUCAUCGAAUCUUUGAACGCACAUUGCGCCCGCCAGUAUUCUGGCGGGCAUGCCUGUCUGAGCGUCAUUUCAACCCUCAUGCCCCUAGGGCGUGGUGUUGGGGAUCGGCCAAAGCCCGCGAGGGACGGCCGGCCCCUAAAUCUAGUGGCGGACCCGUCGUGGCCUCCUCUGCGAAGUAGUGAUAUUCCGCAUCGGAGAGCGAUGAGCCCCUGCCGUUAAACCCCCAACUUUCCAAGGUUGACCUCAGGUCAGGUAGGAAUACCCGCUGAACUUAAGCAUAUCAAUAAGCGGAGGA